CCUACGGGAGGCUGCAGUGAGGAAUAUUGGUCAAUGGGCGCUAGCCUGAACCAGCCAAGUAGCGUGAAGGAUGACUGCCCUAUGGGUUGUACACUUCUUUUAUCUGGGAAUAAAGUGCAGUACGUAUACUGUUUUGCAUGUACCUUAUGAAUAAGGAUCGGCUAACUCCGUGCCAGCAGCCGCGGUAAUACGGAGGAUCCGAGCGUUAUCCGGAUUUAUUGGGUUUAAAGGGAGCGUAGGCGGGUUGUUAAGUCAGUUGUGAAAUUUUGCGGCUCAACCGGAAAAUUGCAGUUGAAACUGGCAGCCUUGAGUACAGUAGAGGUAGGCGGAAUGCGUGGUGUAGCGGUGAAAUGCUUAGAUAUCACGAAGAACCCCGAUUGCGAAGGCAGCCUGCUGGACUGUAACUGACGCUGAGGCUCGAAAGUGUGGGUAUCAAACAGGAUUAGAUACCCGAGUAGUC
This 460-nucleotide ribosomal RNA is filed under the name uncultured bacterium. RNAcentral's name for it is "partial 16S ribosomal RNA". It matches the Rfam family "Bacterial small subunit ribosomal RNA", at positions 338 to 795 of the family's 1533-position model. The record is from RNAcentral.